ACGCUGGUAGCUCAAUUGGCAGAGCAGCGGUCUCCAAAACCGCAGGUUGGGGGUUCGACUCCCUCCCAGCGUG
This 73-nucleotide transfer RNA is filed under the name Ignavibacteriales bacterium. RNAcentral describes it as "tRNA-Trp". It matches the Rfam family "tRNA". From Rfam's summary of the family: Transfer RNA (tRNA) molecules are approximately 80 nucleotides in length. Their secondary structure includes four short double-helical elements and three loops (D, anti-codon, and T loops). Further hydrogen bonds mediate the characteristic L-shaped molecular structure. tRNAs have two regions of fundamental functional importance: the anti-codon, which is responsible for specific mRNA codon recognition, and the 3' end, to which the tRNAs corresponding amino acid is attached (by aminoacyl-tRNA synthetases). tRNAs cope with the degeneracy of the genetic code in two manners: having more than one tRNA (with a specific anti-codon) for a particular amino acid; and 'wobble' base-pairing, i.e. permitting non-standard base-pairing at the 3rd anti-codon position. Lineage: Bacteria; Pseudomonadati; Ignavibacteriota; Ignavibacteria; Ignavibacteriales. The record is from RNAcentral. RNAcentral also lists the same sequence under 2 other names.